GGGGCCCGUAGCGCAGAGGUAGUCGCGUCGCUAUUACAUGGCGGAGGAUGCCGGUUCGAGUCCGGUCGGGUCCCACC
This 77-nucleotide transfer RNA is filed under the name Micromonospora sediminimaris. RNAcentral's name for it is "tRNA-Val". It matches the Rfam family "tRNA". From Rfam's summary of the family: Transfer RNA (tRNA) molecules are approximately 80 nucleotides in length. Their secondary structure includes four short double-helical elements and three loops (D, anti-codon, and T loops). Further hydrogen bonds mediate the characteristic L-shaped molecular structure. tRNAs have two regions of fundamental functional importance: the anti-codon, which is responsible for specific mRNA codon recognition, and the 3' end, to which the tRNAs corresponding amino acid is attached (by aminoacyl-tRNA synthetases). tRNAs cope with the degeneracy of the genetic code in two manners: having more than one tRNA (with a specific anti-codon) for a particular amino acid; and 'wobble' base-pairing, i.e. permitting non-standard base-pairing at the 3rd anti-codon position. RNAcentral also lists the same sequence under 1 other name. The record is from RNAcentral. Lineage: Bacteria; Bacillati; Actinomycetota; Actinomycetes; Micromonosporales; Micromonosporaceae.